RNAcentral lists this ribosomal RNA (396 nucleotides) under uncultured bacterium. RNAcentral describes it as "bacterial SSU rRNA". It matches the Rfam family "Bacterial small subunit ribosomal RNA", at positions 28 to 416 of the family's 1533-position model. The record is from RNAcentral.
GACGAACGCUGGCGGCGUGCCUAACACAUGCAAGUCGAGCGGGGUCCAUCCGGUAGCAAUACCGGGGAAGACCUAGCGGCGAACGGGUGAGUAACACGUGAGAAACCUGCCCCGAAGUCUGGGAUAACCCGAGGAAACUCGAGCUAAUACCGGAUGUCUUCUUCUGAUCGCAUGGUCGGAUGAAGAAAGAUUUAUCGCUUCGGGAGGGUCUCGCGGCCUAUCAGCUAGUUGGCGGGGUAACGGCCCACCAAGGCGUCGACGGGUAGCUGGUCUGAGAGGACGAUCAGCCACACUGGGACUGAGACACGGCCCAGACUCCUACGGGAGGCAGCAGUGGGGAAUAUUGCGCAAUGGGCGAAAGCCUGACGCAGCAACGCCGCGUGCGGGAUGAAGGCC